Molecule: long non-coding RNA, 1188 nt
Filed under: Malus domestica (apple)
Lineage: Eukaryota; Viridiplantae; Streptophyta; Magnoliopsida; Rosales; Rosaceae
Description: long non-coding RNA (MDOM_LNC004199)
Source: RNAcentral
UUAAUCAUUUAUUUAUGGCAAGGAUUAAUUAAUAUGUUAAUUAAUCAAACGAAUAAGUUCGUUAAAGACCUUGGGAUAGUUUUGGACCUUAAGGCCCAAUGGGCUUCGAACGUCAAGCCCAUUAACUUAAGUUGUAUGACAAUUUAAUGAAUAAAGAUUCAUUAAAGCCCAAAAGCCCAAAUCCCUUUAGGUGGCCGGCCAUGAAGAAAUGAAUUAGGGUUUUGGUUGUUUAGGUCACUUAAAGAAGUGACUAUAUAAAUGAUUUUAUAGCCAAAAUUCAUUAAGUGAUAAAAGGGUUUAUUUUUGGGGAAAAUUGGUGAGAAUUGUCUCUCCAUUUUCUCUCUAAAAAGGCCAACACCUUGGAGGGUACAUCUAGCAAUCCUACUACUCCAAGGUCACUCAUUUUCUUCUACAAUCAAACCUUGGUGAAGAGACUUAGAGGUUCCCUAUUUUGGGAACUUGGAGAAACCUAUUCUUCCAUCCAAAUCCAUGGAUCUAAGAAGUAAGGAAUGAAGGCCCUAUCUCUUUGGGUGAUUAGCCUUUGCUUAUGCAAAGAGGAAUCUACAAAGGUAUUAAUUUCAACUCACUUUGUUUUGAGUUGAUUAUUGGUUCACCAAUCUACUAGGCUUUGAAUUUCAUGGGUAAUGUUUUGUUUUUGAAUGCAUACAAGCAUGAUUCCGCCUUUAAUUUGUUAAUUGCAUGCUAUAGAUGUUAUUCAAAUGAACAUGUUUUUUCAAAAUAAUCCCUUCAAGUGGUAUCAGAGCCUAGGUCUAGUAGUUGGUGAAUCCUUUUGGGUUUUGUAGUUCAUAAGUUUGUGAUUUAAAAGUUGUACUUGUUACAAGCUUUAUUCUUGCUUCUUUGAAAGUAAAUUUUGUUGGAAAAUUUGCUAUCUCAAAUGUUGUAGAUGUUGUUCAUAUGAGCAUGAAUAUUGGAGCUAAAAUUUGGUGCCAUGCUUUUGGGAAAAUUCGGCCAAAUCCAAAGGGUGGAAUUUUGGGUUCUUGUUUGACUUGUUAAAAGUGUUUUAAUGUGUUCUUUGGAAUCCCUAAGUACCCUAGUUUGGUUAGAUGUUAUUUCCUUAAGUAAGAAUGGUUUUGGAAUGUUUUUGGGUGAAAAAAAAAAAGUUCAUGGAAAAAUUUGGGUUUUUCAUGGAUGUUCUUCAUUGUUCUUGAUGUUCUUGCCAAGAACAAA